AUUGAGCGCUGGCGGCAGGCUUAACACAUGCAAGUCGAGCGGGGUGAUGGUGCUUGCACUAUCACUUAGCGGCGGACGGGUGAGUAAUGCAUAGGAAUCUGCCUAUUAGUGGGGGACAACAUCUCGAAAGGGAUGCUAAUACCGCAUACGUCCUACGGGAGAAAGCAGGGGAUCACUUGUGACCUUGCGCUAAUAGAUGAGCCUACGUGGGAUUAGCUAGUUGGUAGGGUAAAGGCCUACCCAGGCGACGAUCUGUAGCGGGUCUGAGAGGAUGAUCCGCCACACUGGGACUGAGACACGGCCCAGACUCCUACGGGAGGCAGCAGUGGGGAAUAUUGGACAAUGGGGGGAACCCUGAUCCAGCCAUGCCGCGUGUGUGAAGAAGGCCUUAUGGUUGUAAAGCACUUUAAGCGAGGAGGAGGCUCUUUUGGUUAAUACCCAAGAUGAGUGGACGUUACUCGCAGAAUAAGCACCGGCUAACUCUGUGCCAGCCGCCGCCGUAA
Molecule: ribosomal RNA, 503 nt
Filed under: uncultured bacterium
Lineage: Bacteria
Description: partial 16S ribosomal RNA
Rfam family: Bacterial small subunit ribosomal RNA
Source: RNAcentral